Molecule: ribosomal RNA, 497 nt
Filed under: uncultured bacterium
Lineage: Bacteria
Description: partial 16S ribosomal RNA
Rfam family: Bacterial small subunit ribosomal RNA
Source: RNAcentral
GAUGAACGCUGGCGGCGUGCCUAAUACAUGCAAGUCGAGCGAACGGACGAGAAGCUUGCUUUUCUGAUGUUAGCGGCGGACGGGUGAGUAACACGUGGAUAACCUACCUAUAAGACUGGGAUAACUUCGGGAAACCGGAGCUAAUACCGGAUAAUAUUUUGCACCGCAUGGUUCAAAAGUGAAAGACGGUCUUGCUGUCACUUAUAGAUGGAUCCGCGCUGCAUUAGCUAGUUGGUAAGGUAACGGCUUACCAAGGCAACGAUGCAUAGCCGACCUGAGAGGGUGAUCGGCCACACGAGAACGGAGACACGGACCAGACGCCUGAGGGAGGGAGCAGAAGGGAAUCGGCCGCAAUGGGCGAAAGCCUGACGGAGCAACGCCGCGUGAGUGAUGAAGGUCUUCGGAUCGUAAAACUCUGUUAUGAGGGAAGAACAUAUGUGUAAGGAACUGUGCACAACUUGACGGUACCUAAUCAGAAAGCCACGGCUAACUACGUG